GCUGGCGGCACGCCUAACACAUGCAAGUCGAACGAAGUAGCAAUACUUAGUGGCAGACGGGUGAGUAACAUGUGGGUAUCUGCCCUUUGGCCUGGAAUAACACGAGGAAACUUGUGCUAAUACCGGAUAAGUCUUUACAGAGAAAGCUUUAUGCACCAUUGGAUGAGCCCGCACUUGAUUAGUUUGUUGGUAGGGUAAUGGCCUACCAAGACUGUGAUCAAUAGCUGAUUUGAGAGGAUGAUCAGCCACAUUGGGACUGAGACACGGCCCAAACUCCUACGGGAGGCAGCAGUGGGGAAUCUUGCACAAUGGAGGAAACUCUGAUGCAGCGAUGCCGCGUGAGUGAAGAAGGCCUUUGGGUUGUAAAGCUCUUUCGUCGGGGAAGAAAAUGACUGUACCCGAAUAAGAAGGUCCGGCUAACUUCGUGCCAGCAGCCGCGGUAAUACGAAGGGACCUAGCGUAGUUCGGAAUUACUGGGCUUAAAGAGUUCGUAGGUGGUUGAAAAAGUUGGUGGUGAAAUCCCAGAGCUUAACUCUGGAACUGCCAUCAAAACUUUUCAGCUAGAGUAUGAUAGAGGAAAGCAGAAUUUCUAGUGUAGAGGUGAAAUUCGUAGAUAUUAGAAAGAAUACCAAUUGCGAAGGCAGCUUUCUGGAUCAUUACUGACACUGAGGAACGAAAGCAUGGGUAGCGAAGAGGAUUAGAUACCCUCGUAGUCCAUGCCGUAAACGAUGUGUGUUAGACGUUGGAAAUUUAUUUUCAGUGUCGCAGCGAAAGCGAUAAACACACCGCCUGGGGAGUACGACCG
RNAcentral lists this ribosomal RNA (805 nucleotides) under uncultured Pelagibacteraceae bacterium. Its description in RNAcentral is "bacterial SSU rRNA". It matches the Rfam family "Bacterial small subunit ribosomal RNA", at positions 35 to 888 of the family's 1533-position model. Lineage: Bacteria; Pseudomonadati; Pseudomonadota; Alphaproteobacteria; Candidatus Pelagibacterales; Candidatus Pelagibacteraceae. The record is from RNAcentral.